RNAcentral lists this long non-coding RNA (4897 nucleotides) under Cucumis sativus (cucumber). RNAcentral's name for it is "long non-coding RNA (CSAT_LNC001917)". The record is from RNAcentral. Lineage: Eukaryota; Viridiplantae; Streptophyta; Magnoliopsida; Cucurbitales; Cucurbitaceae.
UAAACAAUUUAAUUCGGUAUUAUAGUGAAUUAAACUCAUGACCCCUCUUUUUUUUUUUAAUAUUAUUUUCAUGGUUUUGGAGGAAUUUUAACAUACACAGCUACACACCAAAUGCAAAAACUUCACUCAAAUGCAAAUGCAUAAAUAAACCAUAAUUAUUAUUUUGUGUAUUUAAUUUGAUGAUCUAGCAAAGACAAUGUCUAUUAACACUAACUCGUCACAGAUUUAAAUACUUACAUAUGUGAAAGAAAGAAAAAGAAAAAGAAAAAGUAGGAUUAAUAUGAGAGAUAUGGUGGCAGGGAUGGGGCCAAUGGUAACAGAGGCAAGAACAUGCGAAUCUCCAAGCCAUCGCUUCAAGGGGCUGUGCUUCAGUAAGAACAACUGUGGCCAUGUCUGCAAAACGGAGGGCUUUCACGGCGGCCAUUGCCGGGGCUUCCGUCGCCGCUGCUUCUGCACAAAGCACUGUGUUUGAGUUGAAUGUGAAUGAUCUCAAAUCAGUUGUGUCUAUCAGUAAAAGUAGACACUCAAUAUGGGAGCUUUUUGGGCGUGCGUUUAAACCAAUAAGUCUGUCAUUGUUUCCUUUUUUAAAAGUUUUGCCUUUUGUUUGUUGUGCAAGCUUUUCUUCCCAUUUGCUUUGUUUUGGUUUGAAUUAAUGUGAUGUUUAGUUCAUAUUAUAUAUUUGUGUAUUUAUUUGCUGUUUUCUUUCUUUUGAGAUGGUUUUUUUUUUCCCGUAAAGAGGCUCACUCAAGUUAUUCAACUAAGGCUGUAAAGUCAAAUUGCCAUUUAUAUGGUUCAAAAUGCUAGCAAAAAGAGUACUCAUGUCGUCUUAAAUUAUUAAAUAAACAAACUGUUAAGUUUCGCCAUUUGUUCUAAAAUAUCUAUGUAUUUUUAAAAGUUACAGUAUCACUUCAAAGUUCUCAACUUUUCAUAGAAAUUUUAGAAUUAUCUUAGAAAUCUAAGGAUAAAAAUUGAAAUCAUCUCAAAUUUGGAUGAAAAACUAAAGAAUUCCUACUUAUGUGCGGUUUUGCAAAGAUGAUGAAUGAUGAAAAUUUGUGGCAGUAAAAUUUUAGGAUAAAAGUUAUUAUUUUGUAUCAAAAGUAUCCAUAAUAUUUUACGAUUUUAAUCCUAAAAUAUUUUUAAUAUGGAUUUUCUAUACACCACAAAUUAUCCAUUUGCUCUUUUCAAUCAUCCAAAAAUCCAAUCAUUUUGUUCACAUUUUAUUUCUAACUCUAAUGCAAUCGGUCAAAUUUAAAAAAAAAAAAAGAAUGAUAAUUAACUAAUCACUUGAAUAGAGAAAUUGUCACAUAUUCACAUAUUUUGAAUUUAUAAUUCUAAAAAAUAAUUUGUGAGGUCCAAAUAUACAACGAUGAAAAUCAAAGUAAAAUUAAACUCAAAACUAGGAGAACAAAUCGAAAACUUAUAGAGAAAAAGAAAAACUACUUACAAAUUAAAUAAGUAAAUCUCUUGGGCAUCAAGAAAUUUUUUUUACUCCAAGGCUUUAUCCCAAACCAAUGAAAAACAGUUUAAACAAAGCCUGAUUUUCCAGCAUAAUGAUCUUGCAACCAUUUUGCUUGCACUUGCAACCCAGCAUCCAUCAGAGCAUUCAAUGCUGUCCUAUAAAGCCUCUCAUCCAGCCUUGUUCCUUCUAACUUCAUGUCUCUGAGAAGCUUCACCAGCUCAUCAACCCGACUCGUCUUUGAGAACACCCCAACCAUGAUCCCCCCAAAUGCCUUGUCAAUGGUGCCCCCGUUCAUCCGAAACUCCCGGUAAUAUUGCUCGCACUUUUCGAAUUCUGAUGCCUUGACAUAGGCACUUAUGAUACUUGUAUAGCUAACCUUAUCAGGUGCUAUCUUUUUGCGCUUCAUUUCCUUCCAUAACUUCUCAACUUGCUUCAAAUUCUUAGCCUUCCCAUGCAUCUCCAUCAAUAUGUUGUAUAUCCAAACAUUUGGCUGACACCCUUUUUCUUUCAUCUUUGCUAAUAGCCUCAUUGCAUCCUUUAAUCUCCCUGUUUUUCCAUACAUUGAUAUCAAGCUAGAGUAAGCUACCACACAUUUAUCAAACCCUUUCUCCUCCAUUUCUCCAAAAAUGUCCUCUGCUUUCGAGUAGAGUCCGACACGGCAGUAGGCAUUGAUUGCUGAGGCGUACGUCACUUGUCCUGGCUCACAUCCGUCUUCGAUCAACUUCUCGUAAACUUUAACUGCAGCUUCAUAGCCCCUUCUCGUGGCAUAACCAUUGACAAUUGCACAGAAAAUACAGUCAGAGACUCCAAUUUUAAAGUCUUUCAUUACUUCAACAAUCUCAAGUGCCUUUUCUAAUGAUCCUUGUUGAACGUACAUCAAUAUGAGCUUUAGAAACAUCGCAGGGUCCCUCAACAACUUCUUGGCUUUUGCUUCAUUGUAAAGAUCUUCCGCUAAUUUAACUUCCUGGAUGCUAGCAAAAGUACAUAUCAAAGCAGAGUAAAUAGUGUAGUCUUCUGCGAUCCCUUUCUUCCUCAUAUCUCUAAAAAACUCAAGCGACUCGAAAACCCUCCCCGACUUUGCUAAGGACUCGCAAAGUAUCCCGUAAAUCUUGGUCGAAAAUGGCGUAGAAACCGAAAUCCUACUCUCCACUUCAUUAAACAGUUCCAUAACUCUCUCAGAAUCCCCAAGUUUAAGAUAGGCUUCCAUGACCCUACAAUAACAUCCAGAAUCUGCUUCGAUUCUUGCAGAUUUCAAGCGCUGGAAAACCAUGAUAGUGCUUUUGUGCAUGUGAAGCUUAUUGUAGCCUCUCAUGGCAGCUUCAAAAGCAGUCAUAGCAACACCACUAUCCCUUUCAAAAACCUCAAGCAAAGACUUGACAACUUUAAAUUUUCUACCUCUAACACAACUACUAACCAAUUUAGAACAAGUAUCUCUAUCAGGGCAAACACCAAAAUCCACAAAGUCCCUAGAAACUAAAAGAAUCAAAUCCCAUUUCUUCAAUCGAACUAAGUACCUGAUCAGAUGCCGCAAUGUCGAUUUCUGAGGUCGAAACCCAGCCGUCUCCUUCGCUUUCACAUAAUAGUCAUAGAUCAAAUCCUCGGUUCCGGGGUUUUGCGACAACCCACAUAAGAAAUCGUUCAAAUCUUGAACGUUGGGCAAGGAGGGAAGUUGAAAAUCGUGAAGAUUGGAGUUUGAAUGGAUGUCGGGUAAUGCGAUGGAGGGUUGUUCUAAGAUUGGGGAAGGGCAACCGGAGGAAUUUAGAUGAAGGGAUGGAAGAUUUGAAGUGGGAAGAGAGAAAAGGAGAGAGAAGUUAGAGGUGGAGAUGAAAUGGGAUUUUCUGAAAGAGUUUGAUGGAGGGAAUGAGCAGUCGGGAGAGGGAGAGAGGGCCAUGGGAGAUAAGGUCGGAAGAAGAUCGGAGUGCCACUCAUAAUAUAUAGCUUAUCGGUAAGGAAGUUUGGGUUCGAGAUCUUGUAAGCCACUGAAUUGGUGCCAAGUGGGGAGCUUUUGGACAGAAGGGUGAAGGGAUUUUCCAUGUAAGCAUUUGUGUUUCCUCCAUCUCCAUGAAAACUGACAAGCUUUUGUGUGGUAUAUAAUACAAUUAUAUAUAGUGAGUGGACAGUGGUUUCGCUUCUCCAACUUUAUAUUCAUCUGCUGACUGCUUCUACAUCUUUAUUCUUUACUUUCUUUUGCUUUAUUUCAAAAUUUCUUAAGGCUUCUAAUUAUAUAUCACACACAUACAUAUUCAUUUGUAUUAUCUAAUUAAAACAAUAAUGGGUCAAAAAGUUUUUUAACAAAUGAAAUUGCCCUCCUUCAAAUUUUCUUAAUUCCAAAACUCAAACCCAAGAGGGUUGUGAGAGUGGAAGCACAACCAUAGCAUCCUAUUUUGUUCAAAAUAAAAUAUUAUUUAAUAUGUAUUGUAAUUUUACACUUUAAAAUUAAUACAAAAUUUGAUAAUGUGAGAGAAAGACACGUUCCUCCACACCCUACCUAAGUAUGUCUGUGCUUAAUAGAACAACUUAUUUACUGACACUAAAACGGUUAAAAGUGAAUUUCCUCUUGCACUCUAUGUCCCCAUCUAUCCACCCGAUCUUACCCUUGAAAGGGGGGCUUAUUUGACUAGUGUUGAAAAGUUUCUCUCCCCUACACAAAUCUAAGGAUAAUUUCGUGUGAAAUUAUCAUUAAGUUACCUAUGUCAUCAAUAAAAAAAAAUAGUCAAUUUUAUACUAUAAAUAAUGUUAGAACGUAAAAGUGACUAUUUCAUGGUUUCAGUGUUAUGUAAACUCUUAAAUGUCCCAACUUCCAUGUCUCUACAUGAGCGAUUUAGGAUCAUAACAUUUGUGUUAAGUACAAAACGAGAUGCAUCCAUAGUGUCUCUUAAAUAAGGUGUCCAACCUAAUUCAUAUGUCAUAGACCAUUCAAGCUAUAUAUUCAAACUUGAUACAUGUUUAUGUCUAUACAUAAAAUUUAAGUCUACACCAAAUAACUUCAAGACCUUAGUUUAUUGGAUUCAAAAUUAUAGUAGGCAUUUUCAGUAACCACUUUAUUGAAUAGAAUAUGAUUUAAAAUUACAAACUACGAACGAUUUUUAAGUAUGUAUCAAUGUAGGUUUCCAUUAGUGUCUAUUAAUAUAAACUUCCAUUCGUGUGAAUCAAGUAAUGAUAUAAAAUUUUGCUAUAUUUUGGUUUAUUUUGCUAUAUUUGAAAAUAACUAAAUCUUGUAGCUUAGACCAAUCCGCGGGUCAAGUUUUAAAAUGAAAUUAUUUAUAUUUUUAUAAAACUUUUAAGAGCAUUUUCAAAUAUAGAAAAAAAAAAUCAAACUAUUUACAAAUAUAACAAAGUCUAUUUAAGUUUUAUUUGUUAUAUGUGAAAAUAAUUUUAAUUUAUUUUACCAUUAAUAACGAUCUUUUUACAAAACAAAAAAAAAAAAAAAAAAGAGAU